AUUGAACGCUGGCGGCAGGCCUAACACAUGCAAGUCGAGCGGAUGAAGGGAGCUUGCUCCUGGAUUCAGCGGCGGACGGGUGAGUAAUGCCUAGGAAUCUGCCUGGUAGUGGGGUCAAGGGCCGGAAACGGGGGCUAAUUACGCUAACAUCCCGAGGGAGAAACGGGGGGAAGUUGGGACUCCACGGAACCAGAGGGGCCUAGGUCGGAUUAGCUAGUUGGUGGGGUAAAGGCCUACCAAGGCGACGAUCCGUAACUGGUCUGAGAGGAUGAUCAGUCACACUGGAACUGAGACACGGUCCAGACUCCUACGGGAGGCAGCAGUGGGGAAUAUUGGACAAUGGGCGAAAGCCUGAUCCAGCCAUGCCGCGUGUGUGAAGAAGGUCUUCGGAUUGUAAAGCACUUUUAUUUGGGAGGAAAGGCAGUAAGUUAAUACCUUGCUGUUUUGACGUUACCCACAGAAUAAGCACCGGCUAACUUCGUG
This 483-nucleotide ribosomal RNA is filed under the name uncultured bacterium. Its description in RNAcentral is "partial 16S ribosomal RNA". It matches the Rfam family "Bacterial small subunit ribosomal RNA", at positions 30 to 507 of the family's 1533-position model. The record is from RNAcentral.